Molecule: ribosomal RNA, 429 nt
Filed under: uncultured bacterium
Lineage: Bacteria
Description: bacterial SSU rRNA
Rfam family: Bacterial small subunit ribosomal RNA
Source: RNAcentral
ACCCAGGGUCUUGACAUUCUUUUGAUCACCCUGAGAGAAUCAGGUUUUCCCCUUCGGGGGGCAAAAUGACAGGUGGUGCAUGGUUGUCGUCAGCUCGUGUCGUGAGAUGUUGGGUUAAAUCCCGCAAACGAGCGCACCCUUUAUGACUAGUUGCCAGUAUUUAGUUGGGCACUCUAGUAAGACUGCCGGUGACAAACCGGAGGAAGGUGGGGAUGACGUCAAAUCAUCAUGCCCCUUAUGACCUGGGCUACACACGUGCUACAAUGGAUGGUACAACGAGUUGCGAGACCGCGAGGUCAAGCUAAUCUCUUAAAGCCAUUCUCAGUUCGGACUGUAGGUUGCAACUCGCCUACACGAAGUCGGAAUCGCUAGUAAUCGCGGAUCAGCACGCCGCGGUGAAUACGUUCCCGGGUCUUGUACACACCGCCU